GUUGCCUACGGGACGCAGCAGUAGGGAAUCUUCCACAAUGGGCGAAAGCCUGAUGGAGCGACGCCGCGUGAGCGAAGAAGUAUUUCGGUAUGUAAAGCUCUAUCAGCAGGGAAGAAAAUGACGGUACCUGACUAAGAAGCUCCGGCUAAAUACGUGCCAGCAGCCGCGGUAAUACGUAUGGAGCAAGCGUUAUCCGGAAUUACUGGGUGUAAAGGGAGCGUAGACGGAUGUGCAAGUCUGAUGUGAAAGGCGGGGGCUCAACCCCUGGACUGCAUUGGAAACU
Molecule: ribosomal RNA, 283 nt
Filed under: uncultured bacterium
Lineage: Bacteria
Description: partial 16S ribosomal RNA
Rfam family: Bacterial small subunit ribosomal RNA
Source: RNAcentral